AUUAGAGUUUGAUCCUGGCUCAGAUUGAACGCUGGCGGCAUGCCUUACACAUGCAAGUCGAACUGCAGCAUGAUCUAGCUUGCUAGAUUGAUGGCGAGUGGCGAACGGGUGAGUAAUACAUCGGAACGUGCCCUGUAGUGGGGGAUAACUAGUCGAAAGAUUAGCUAAUACCGCAUACGACCUGAGGGUGAAAGUGGGGGACCGCAAGGCCUCAUGCUAUAGGAGCGGCCGAUGUCUGAUUAGCUAGUUGGUGGGGUAAAGGCCCACCAAGGCGACGAUCAGUAGCUGGUCUGAGAGGACGAUCAGCCGCACUGGGACUGAGACACGGCCCAGACUCCUACGGGAGGCAGCAGUGGGGAAUUUUGGACAAUGGGCGAAAGCCUGAUCCAGCAAUGCCGCGUGUGUGAAGAAGGCCUUCGGGUUGUAAAGCACUUUUGUCCGGAAAGAAAUGGCUCUGGUUAAUACCUGGGGUCGAUGACGGUACCGGAAGAAUAAGGACCGGCUAACUACGUGCCAGCAGCCGCGGUAAUAC
RNAcentral lists this ribosomal RNA (532 nucleotides) under uncultured bacterium. Its description in RNAcentral is "bacterial SSU rRNA". It matches the Rfam family "Bacterial small subunit ribosomal RNA", at positions 1 to 526 of the family's 1533-position model. The record is from RNAcentral.